GGGGAAUCUGAAGGAAAAUGCUGAUUGGGGAGAGGGAUAAUUUGAGAUGAGUGUGGUGCCUUGGCUUAAUAUAUAAGACUCUCUUUAGGCUUUUGUGGCUUCCAAUGGAGCUGCAGCCCGAUUGGCUACGAUUUGCUCGUACAGGUCUCUGAUCUUCAAGCCGACUAUGGUUUGGAAGAGACCAGUUCCAUUGCUGCUGCCGGGAAAAUCGGA
RNAcentral lists this unclassified non-coding RNA (213 nucleotides) under Hevea brasiliensis (rubber tree). Lineage: Eukaryota; Viridiplantae; Streptophyta; Magnoliopsida; Malpighiales; Euphorbiaceae. The record is from RNAcentral.